Molecule: ribosomal RNA, 1398 nt
Filed under: Phialocephala virens
Lineage: Eukaryota; Fungi; Ascomycota; Leotiomycetes; Helotiales; Mollisiaceae
Description: LSU rRNA
Rfam family: Eukaryotic large subunit ribosomal RNA
Source: RNAcentral
UUACCUCAGUAACGGCGAGUGAAGCGGUAACAGCUCAAAUUUGAAAUCUGGCUCUUUUAGGCAUUAGUUGUAAUUUGUAGAAGAUGCUUCGGGUGUGGCUCCGGUCUAAGUUCCUUGGAACAGGACGUCAUAGAGGGUGAGAAUCCCGUAUGUGACUGGGUGUCUAUGCUCAUGUGAAGCUCUUUCGACGAGUCGAGUUGUUUGGGAAUGCAGCUCUAAAUGGGUGGUAAAUUUCAUCUAAAGCUAAAUAUUGGCCAGAGACCGAUAGCGCACAAGUAGAGUGAUCGAAAGAUGAAAAGCACUUUGGAAAGAGAGUUAAACAGUACGUGAAAUUGUUGAAAGGGAAGCGCUUGCAACCAGACUUGCACGUUGUCGAUCAUCCGAUGUUCUCACCGGUGCACUCGACUGCGUUCAGGCCAGCAUCAGUUUCGGUGGUUGGAUAAAGGCCUUGGGAAUGUGGCUCCUCUCGGGGAGUGUUAUAGCCCUCGGUGCAAUGCAGCCUACCGGGACUGAGGACCGCGCUUCGGCUAGGAUGCUGGCGUAAUGGUUGUAAGCGACCCGUCUUGAAACACGGACCAAGGAGUCUAACAUCUAUGCGAGUAUUUGGGUGUUAAACCCAUAUGCGUAAUGAAAGUGAACGGAGGUAAGAACCCUUAAGGGUGCAUUAUCGACCGAUCCUGAUGUCUUCGGAUGGAUUUGAGUAAGAGCAUAGCUGUUGGGACCCGAAAGAUGGUGAACUAUGCGUGGAUAGGGUGAAGCCAGAGGAAACUCUGGUGGAGGCUCGCAGCGGUUCUGACGUGCAAAUCGAUCGUCAAAUCUGCGUAUAGGGGGCGAAAGACUAAUCGAACCAUCCGUAUGGCCUUGUAGUCUCUUUUUUGUGAGCAAGCGCUAGGUGGUUAAGAGGUGGCUAAAAGUGCCAUCUAGUCCCUAGAUCUUGGGGGCAACACUAUCAAAUUGUUCGGGGACGUCCUGUUAAAUUCCAAGCUACCCGCAGCCCUUAUCGAAAGAUAGGUGCGCACCAGGGUAAUGACCUCGGGUAUGGUAAUAACGCUUAGAUAGGGAUAAUCCGCAGCCAAGUCCUAAGGGCGUACAUUGCCUAUGGAUGCAGUUCACAGACUAAAUGGUAGUGGGCUGGGUACUAGAUAGUACCCAGCUUAAGUUAUAGUCGAUCCGCUAGGAGACUAGUUAGGUAGGAUGAAGGGUUGUAGAGGAGAUCUCCUUUAUUAUUGGGCUCUACAACUCCCUAGGCCUACCUAGAAGGUUUAUAAUAGGAUCAGUAGAUGGUCUGUUAUAAAUCUUUGGGGAGAAUCGUUAUUUAGAGCUAGUAGCUUUGCUUAGAUAUGUGGCCAGGUUGGGUCGUCAAGUAGAAGUUUUGCAUGCACGAUCUAGUAACAUCUA